This 553-nucleotide ribosomal RNA is filed under the name Diderma microcarpum. Its description in RNAcentral is "SSU rRNA". It matches the Rfam family "Eukaryotic small subunit ribosomal RNA", at positions 17 to 517 of the family's 1831-position model. The record is from RNAcentral. Lineage: Eukaryota; Evosea; Eumycetozoa; Physariida; Didymiaceae.
CCAGUAGUGUAUGCUUCUCCUAAAGACUAAGCCAUGCAUGCCUUCGAAUACGAGGAAGCAAUUCUCUCUGAAUCUGCGAACGGCUCCGCAAACCAGUUGUAAACCAAAGCAAGCAUACUCGUGGUCUGCCCUUCACGGGGUGGGCUGCGGGUGAUACGGAUAACCCUGGUAAUUCUGAGGCUAAUACGAGACUGUAAUCCCUGGCUAACCGGGCAACUGGUAGGCUGGGGGGCGUGUGAUCUAUUUGCAAGACGAUUCCAGGAAGGGGUGCACGCUCUGACCGCGAUAAAGACAGUUCUGGUGGACCCUCGGGCGAGCCAGUUCUGAGCGGCUCUUGCGAUGUGCUUCUGACCUAUCAACUAGAUGGCAGCGUAACGGACAUGCCAUGGUUACAACGGGUACAGAGGAUUAGGGUUCGAUCCUGGAGAGUGGGCCUGAGAGAUUGCUCAUACUUCUAAGGAAGGCAGCAGGCGCGCAACGUUCCCCUUGGGCAAUGCCCGAGGGCGUUAGGGGACAUAUGAAUGGUUGCCUUUUAGGUGGCCAAUUCAAAUGG